Small nucleolar RNA from Rosa chinensis, 106 nucleotides. RefSeq annotates it as small nucleolar RNA snoR109. The record is from RefSeq and is a predicted model, not a curated record. The transcript has a single exon. Lineage: Eukaryota; Viridiplantae; Streptophyta; Magnoliopsida; Rosales; Rosaceae.
UGGUUGUAGCCAAAUUGAAUGGUUGAGAAGUUUACUGGCCAGCCAUUGUGAGAUUUAUCUAAAUCUCUGUCAAUUAAUGGAUCUGCUUACCGAGCUUCUCACAUUU